GCAUUUCUAGCAAGUUCCCAGGUGAUGCUGGUAGAGCACACGCCCAGAACCACCGCCAGGUACACAAGUCACUGGACAAGGUGGGAAGGCAUCUUACUCAAUCAAUGGACCUUAUUCUAAAGCGGGAAGGGCACUGAGAGUAUAGGGAGGGUAUCUCUCAAAUGAGGAGUCUACGACCUGCUUCAGGGGAAGGCCAACAACUUCUUGGAUUUUAUGACCUGCUUCAGGGGAGAAGGACAAGGGAAGUACAGCGCCUACAACAAUGCAAAGGCUAGAAGGAAUGAAGGCAGGGACAUGGAAUGGAGAAUUUCCAUUUCACGGAUCCACAUAAACUGAAAAGGAACAAGAGUCGGUGAGACCAAAGAGCACUGAAGGCCAUGAACCACCACCAUUCUCAACCCCUGGGCCAGGCAAGAAAAGCCACGGUUCCUGGAAGGGAUGACGACAGGCUUACUGAAUUAUUUUCAUCCAUGCCCUUUUAAAAUAUGGUUGGUAGAAAUUUGCCAUUUGAGACUAGAAUCCCAUUCGGAAUCAUGUAAGUCUCUUUUGACUCCACGAGGACAUCUUUCACCCAGUUUUGGGAAAUCUGAGGAAUGGAUUCUUCUACAGACUGAUAAAAUAUCACAAGGUCCAAGAGUUUGUGUGAGAAAGAGGACAUCAAGGUAAAAUUUUUUAAGUGGAUAAAGAUGGAGAAGUAGAAGGAUGUUAUUCAAAAGUGUAGUUUAUGAUUAAGGUUGGUCGUGACAUCAGAAGCCUUUAAUAUCAGGCCCACCCAUCCGGAUUCAUUAAGCAGAUUGUGUCUUAUCUUGCAUUUCUGUUUCCUGAGACUUAAUCAUGGUUUCCUCAGUGAGUAUCAUCCGCUGCCUAAACUUCAUAAGAGGAUGUUUUCUUUUUUGGAAGCUACUACUCAUGGGCUGAAACUGACUUUCAAACCUACAACUUUAAACUAUGUAAUACUUGAUAUGAGCAACUCAUCCCACUCCUUUCAGAUUAUUCCCUAGGAUCAUUUAUUAUGUGCCUACUGCAUGCAAGGCACAGUGGGAAUACAGAUACAAAGAUAAAUAAGAUUGUCUCUGCCCUGAAGAAAACUAUAAUUUCUGUGUGUAGAAAGACACACAACUGACUUUUCUAUCACAGACCAUCCAAGUUCUGACAUAGAGUCACUAGAGGUUUCUGAACAUGAUGGAUGUGAACGUGGUAGACAUACAAUGGAAGGCAAGAAGGUAUCUCAACACAGCAGAACAAGACCCCAUGAGGAGCCCAGAAAAAAAAUAAAGAAGGUUCCUCACUGGUUAGGAAUUCAAAAGCAGUCCUGGCAACCUCAUAGCAUCUUUACCUCAGAAGCAGGCAGCUCUGGUUACUCCACCAUUUUCAGGAACAAGGUUUUUCUCUCCCCCUCUGCUGCAUUUCCUCUGCGGCUCCUGAUCCAUCUGCCUCUACCUUCUUCCUAGCAUCAAAUUUCCUCCCAGGAGACAACAUGAAUGGGUUAAGAAGUACCCAAUGAGGGCUGCUCCAACUGGACAGCAUCUUUGAAACUGGGACCUCACAGAUGGUCAUCACAGGCCCCUGAUGCCUGGGUACCCAGCGACCAACCCCAGUCUAGUCUGUCUAUAGCAACAUAGGUGAAGGGGAGUCUCAGGGGCUGCCUAAAGGGCUCAGAAUGUGGUGAGUACUUAAGACUGCAUGGAUUUUCACUGUUUACAUGAAUAUAGGACAAGUAUUCACAGAACUAUUAGCUAGAUCUGUGAACAAAACAUUAAUAACAUUGUAUGUCCAUGUCUGAACCCCUGAAAUUCCAACAACCACCACCCGCCUACCAACUUGCAGCAAACCGGCUCUCUCCACAGUCUUCCCCAGAUCAGGGAGAAACAAUUCCAUCCUUCCAGUACUCAGACUGUAAAACUGGAUUCAUUCUGAUUCCUCUCUCACACAUCCCACACCUGAUCUGACAGGAAAUCCUAUAAACUCUGCCAUUAAAAUAUAUCCAGAAACAGGCCAGGCACAAUGGCUCAUGCCUCUAAUCCCAGCACUUUGGGAGGUCGAGGCGGGCGGAUCAUGAGGUCAGGAGUUCGAGACCAGCUUGGCCUACAUGGCAAAACCCUGUCUCUACUAAAAAUACAAAAAUUAGCUAGGUGUGGUGAUGCACACCUGUAAUCCCAGCUACUUGGGAGGCUGAGCUAGGAGAAUCACUUGAACCCGGGAGGCACAGGCUGCAGUAAGCCAAGAUCGUGCCACUGCACUCCAGCCUGGGCGACAGAGUAAGACUC
This 2267-nucleotide long non-coding RNA is filed under the name Homo sapiens (human). Its description in RNAcentral is "HSALNT0294297". The record is from RNAcentral. Lineage: Eukaryota; Metazoa; Chordata; Mammalia; Primates; Hominidae.